RNAcentral lists this long non-coding RNA (1490 nucleotides) under Heterocephalus glaber (naked mole-rat). RNAcentral describes it as "lncRNA (ENSHGLG00000043118.1)". Lineage: Eukaryota; Metazoa; Chordata; Mammalia; Rodentia; Bathyergidae. The record is from RNAcentral.
CAAACUUUCUUGUUCAUCAGGCAAACUUCCGGGGGUGAACGUCCCAAGGACUGCUUGAUAUUUCAAUUAUUACUGGUUUUUCGGAAAUGACAACCCAUCUCAAACACUGGUGCCUGCUGCUGAUAAAAUAACUUGUUCUCUUGAGUGACAAAAUGCCAAGGAACUGAAAGAUAGCUAUUUGCUCUCAUUUAAAGAAGAAUAAAUCCACACUAUGUCACUACCAAUGGAUGUGGAAUAUAGCAGCCUCACAUGCAUUUCUCUUAUGGCAGUUGGCUACAAAGGGUUUUGGGAAAGACAUGAGAAACUGAAGAAAGAAGGAGGAUUGGGAGCACAGAAAUAUGACUUUGUUAGACAACAUGCUAUAAAGCUGAAUAUACCAUUCAAAGUGUAACUACUGUCCCCAACAGGAACUUCCAUACCUUUUCAUUGCAAACUCUCUUCUGCCCCACAUGAAUAUCAGAAUGGUGAAUGUAGUGAAAUUUAUGUAAGUUUGUGUGAAAAAAAUGAAUAGAAAUGGAGAGAAAGGAUUCAAAAUGAUGUGCCUAUGAUUCUUUGGCUUAAGAGUAAGUGAUUAACAUGAAAAUUGCAGUUAUCAAUAUGAUGAAUUUUGUUUGAAGUUUGAGUUUGUGAACUUUCUUAGGCUGAGAAAGAUUUUUCUUAUAGAAAGGAAAUAUUUAUAGUUUAAGGUAUUAUAAAGGAAAUUGGGAGGUUGAGAGUACAUGAUUCUAGGGCUAUAGCCUGAGUAUUGGGUGUGUAUACUGCACCACAUUUAGAAGAGUGCCAUUCAUAGAUUAAAUAUUUACCAACUCAUACUAGCAUGCAAGCUGACUUGUACAUUUCUAGAUAUUGGGUUGCAUCUACUUAAGAAAUCCCUUCCACAUAAGUAUAUACUUGCAUGUAUGACUCUGUGGACAGAAGAUGUUCCUCAUGCCUGUUAGGUCCCUUCCAUCAAUUACUCGAUGCUUUUGGAUCCUCUGUAAUUUCCACUCUCCACCCUCAUUCCAGAAAAAUUGACUCUGACAUAAUUGAUUGAUUUUAUCACUUUGAGCCAGAGGUGGAAGUGGCCUGAAAUUUAGGUUCUUCAUACCUGAUGGAAGUGUGAACUGAUGAAAUUUGGUAUAAAGAAGUCAAAUACAUCCAUUUAAUCUCCAAAUACACCUGUGUAAGCAUUGGUAAAUAGCAUGAGUAAAUGAUUUUAAUCCUCCAAAUGUGUGAAAGCUAACCUGUAAAAAAAGUACUUAAAACUGAGAAUGGGUGCCCUAAGUUGUACCAAAUGACUGAUUUGCCUUAUUUAGUAAAAGAAUAAAACAAGCCCAUGACUUGGCUUCAUCAAAAUGUCAAAUCUGAAACCUUGGGGUCUUAUUAAAAUUUUCUCACCUACACUCUUACUGUCAGUCUGUUUCCAUGUCCCAUAAUUAUAUCUCCUGAAAACAUUUCCCACCUCUAUGCUUUUACAAUCAUAUUGCUAGAAAUUUAUUCCAGACUCUGCU